UUUUGGUAGCCAUAGUGCAGCAGACCCACCUGAACCCAUGCCGAACUCAGAAGUGAAAUGUUGUAACGCCGAUGGUAGUGUGGGGUUUCCCCAUGUGAGAGUAGGUCACUACCAAAUAU
This 119-nucleotide ribosomal RNA is filed under the name Pasteurella multocida subsp. gallicida P1059. The record is from RNAcentral. Lineage: Bacteria; Pseudomonadati; Pseudomonadota; Gammaproteobacteria; Pasteurellales; Pasteurellaceae.